RNAcentral lists this unclassified non-coding RNA (414 nucleotides) under soil metagenome. RNAcentral's name for it is "partial contains 5.8S ribosomal RNA, internal transcribed spacer 2, and large subunit ribosomal RNA". The stretch from base 1 to 122 matches the Rfam family "5.8S ribosomal RNA", at positions 35 to 154 of the family's 154-position model. The record is from RNAcentral.
GAUGAAGAACGUAGCGAAAUGCGAUACUUGGUGUGAAUUGCAGAAUCCCGUGAACCAUCGAGUCUUUGAACGCAAGUUGCGCCCGAAGCCGUCAGGCUGAGGGCACGCCUGCCUGGGCGUCACACGCCGUUGCCCCCCCCCGCGCCCCGCACCCAACUCUUUGGGAGCGACCGCGGGGCGGGCUGAUGAUGGCCUCCCGUGCGCUCCGCCGCGCGGUUGGCCCAAAUACCGAGUCCCCGGCGACGUGCGCCACGACGAUCGGUGGUUGAGAGACCUCUGUCGCAAGUCGUGCGCGCCCGUCGCGUCACGCGGGCUCGCAUAGCGCCUCGCGCCGCACCCGGUGCGGAGCUUUCAACGCGACCCCAGGUCAGGCGGGGUUACCCGCUGAAUUUAAGCAUAUCAAUAAGCGGAGGA